AUUGAACGCUGGCGGAAUGCUUUACACAUGCAAGUCGAACGGCAGCACGGGGCAACCUGGUGGCGAGUGGCGAACGGGUGAGUAAUACAUCGGAACGUGCCCAAUCGUGGGGGAUAACGUAGCGAAGUUACGCUAAUACCGCAUACGAUCUACGGAUGAAAGCGGGGAUCGCAAGACCUCGCGCGAAUGGAGCGGCCGAUGUCAGAUUAGGUAGUUGGUGGGGUAAAGGCUCACCAAGCCGACGAUCUGUAGCUGGUCUGAGAGGACGACCAGCCACACUGGGACUGAGACACGGCCCAGACUCCUACGGGAGGCAGCAGUGGGGAAUUUUGGACAAUGGGCGCAAGCCUGAUCCAGCCAUUCCGCGUGCAGGAUGAAGGCCUUC
This 385-nucleotide ribosomal RNA is filed under the name uncultured bacterium. RNAcentral's name for it is "bacterial SSU rRNA". It matches the Rfam family "Bacterial small subunit ribosomal RNA", at positions 30 to 419 of the family's 1533-position model. The record is from RNAcentral.